UGAUGCUGAAACGUUGGUAAAUACCCAAUAAAUGACUGGGAGUUUAUAUAUGGAGUGUGGGAUUCUCUUUAUUUUGAUAGUUUAUAACUCUUAUGUAUGUGCCAUCUUUUUGUGUUUUUCAGGCAGCCUGGGAAAGAACUGAAAAAACUCACUAAAGAGUCAAGACAGAGACACCAGAAAGACCCAAGAAGACUUGGACGCAGCAUCAGAGGACAGAGAGGGAUGUUCAGAACUCACUCAGUCUGGUUAGAAGAGAAUGACUCCUCAACCCAAGAGGCCCUGGAGCAGCUGUGAGAGAGCAUCAGUGUUGAAGCAUUUGGGGAAAUUUAAAGAAGGUUUCCUGGUAAAGAGGAUUGACUGUUACGUAAAGGGUCAGAGCCACUGAUUGGACAAAAUAUUAAGGAUACCUUCCUAAUAUUGAGGUACGCCUGGUCAGUUUGUCAUGGAAAGAAAGGUGUCCUUAAUGUUUUGUGUUAAUUACAUAAUAAUGAUACAUUUAUGGAUUGUUUUAUGUAGCCUAUUGUUUUCUAUUUAUUCAACCUGCCAUCUACCCACCUGGGGAUUGAGGGUUAUGAGAGAACCCCCACAUCACUAGCUUCUCUUUAUUCAAC
Molecule: long non-coding RNA, 611 nt
Filed under: Salmo salar (Atlantic salmon)
Lineage: Eukaryota; Metazoa; Chordata; Actinopteri; Salmoniformes; Salmonidae
Description: lncRNA (ENSSSAG00000099753.1)
Source: RNAcentral